This 492-nucleotide ribosomal RNA is filed under the name uncultured bacterium. RNAcentral's name for it is "partial 16S ribosomal RNA". It matches the Rfam family "Bacterial small subunit ribosomal RNA", at positions 39 to 507 of the family's 1533-position model. The record is from RNAcentral.
GGGGGGGGGGGGGGGGGGGGCGGGCGCGGGGGAGUGGGGCGGCAGGACGGUGGGGGGUUGCUCUGACGGGUGGCGCGUGGCGGGGGGGGGUGGAAUACAUCGGCAUCUACUUUUUCGUGGGGGUUGACGUUGGGCAACUUACGCUACUACCGCCUACGACCUACGGGUGGAAGCAGGGGAUCUUCGGACCUUGCGCGAUUGAACUCGCCGAUGUCGGAUUAGCUAGUUGGCGGGGUAAAGGCCCACCACGGCGACGAUCCGUCGCUGGUCUGAGAGGAUGAUCAGCCACACUGGAACUGAGACACGGUCCAGACUCCUACGGGAGGCAGCAGUGGGGAAUAUUGGACAAUGGGCGCAAGCCUGAUCCAGCCAUACCGCGUGGGUGAAGAAGGUCUUCGGGUUGUAAAGCCCUUUUGUUGGGAAAGAAAAGCAGCAGGUUAAUACCCCGCUGUUCUGACGGUACCCAAAGAAUAAGCACCGGCUAACUUCGUG